GGGGCGUUAGUAAAACAAUUACAUAGCCUUGUCAAGGCUAAAUUGCAGGUGAAACCCCAGCACACCCCC
RNAcentral lists this transfer RNA (69 nucleotides) under Urocynchramus pylzowi. RNAcentral describes it as "tRNA-Asp". It matches the Rfam family "tRNA". Rfam says of the family: Transfer RNA (tRNA) molecules are approximately 80 nucleotides in length. Lineage: Eukaryota; Metazoa; Chordata; Aves; Passeriformes; Fringillidae. The record is from RNAcentral.